Molecule: microRNA precursor, 104 nt
Filed under: Oryza brachyantha (malo sina)
Lineage: Eukaryota; Viridiplantae; Streptophyta; Magnoliopsida; Poales; Poaceae
Description: pre miRNA mir-166
Rfam family: mir-166 microRNA precursor family
About the family: This family represents the plant microRNA (miRNA) precursor mir-166. Animal miRNAs are transcribed as ~70nt precursors and subsequently processed by the Dicer enzyme to give a ~22nt product.
Source: Rfam by way of RNAcentral
GUUGAGGGGAAUGUUGUCUGGUUCGAGACCUAACACCGGGCGGAUUCAGCUGCGGCAAAGCUAGCUGGGUGGGCGGUUUCGGACCAGGCUUCAUUCCCCCCAAC